RNAcentral lists this ribosomal RNA (22 nucleotides) under Taxodium distichum. RNAcentral's name for it is "partial 28S ribosomal RNA". The record is from RNAcentral. Lineage: Eukaryota; Viridiplantae; Streptophyta; Pinopsida; Cupressales; Cupressaceae.
GCGUCCCCAAGUCAGGCGUGAA